GACCGUCGGGCUGCGGGUCGACGAUUCUACGGGAGGCAGCAGUGGGGAAUCUUAGACAAUGGGGGAAACCCUGAUCUAGCCAUGCCGCGUGAGUGAUGAAGGCCUUAGGGUCGUAAAGCUCUUUCGCCAGGGAUGAUAAUGACAGUACCUGGUAAAGAAACCCCGGCUAACUCCGUGCCAGCAGCCGCGGUAAUACGGAGGGGGUUAGCGUUGUUCGGAAUUACUGGGCGUAAAGCGCGCGUAGGCGGAUUAGUCAGUCAGAGGUGAAAUCCCAGGGCUCAACCCUGGAACUGCCUUUGAUACUGCUAGUCUAGAGUUCGAGAGAGGUGAGUGGAAUUCCGAGUGUAGAGGUGAAAUUCGUAGAUAUUCGGAGGAACACCAGUGGCGAAGGCGGCUCACUGGCUCGAUACUGACGCUGAGGUGCGAAAGUGUGGGGAGCAAACAGGAUUAGAUACCCUGGUAGUCCACACCGUAAACGAUGAAUGCCAGUCGUCGGCAAGUAUACUUGUCGGUGACACACCUAACGGAUUAAGCAUUCCGCCUGGGGAGUACGGUCGCAAGAUUAAAACUCAAAUGAAUUGACGG
RNAcentral lists this ribosomal RNA (585 nucleotides) under uncultured Paracoccaceae bacterium. RNAcentral describes it as "bacterial SSU rRNA". It matches the Rfam family "Bacterial small subunit ribosomal RNA", at positions 309 to 916 of the family's 1533-position model. Lineage: Bacteria; Pseudomonadati; Pseudomonadota; Alphaproteobacteria; Rhodobacterales; Paracoccaceae. The record is from RNAcentral.